Long non-coding RNA from Antechinus flavipes (yellow-footed antechinus), 770 nucleotides. RefSeq lists it as uncharacterized. Lineage: Eukaryota; Metazoa; Chordata; Mammalia; Dasyuromorphia; Dasyuridae. The record is from RefSeq and is a predicted model, not a curated record. The transcript is spliced from 3 exons.
UCUUUCCCUUCUUCUCUCCCUCUUUCUUCCUUCCUCCCCUCUCUUUCAGGACACAUUAACCUCAUUAUUUGUAUUUUUAAAGCUUCCCUUAAAUAAAGAAAUCACACACAAAGUGAGGCUGGAGUGAAGGAUUAAAAAGUUGACCUUUCUGACAAAGUGGAUGGCGUGUUCCAAAGGCUGGCGAUCGAUCGAUCAGGAGGGAGACCCUAGGCCUGCAUCUUCUCUCAGUGGAUAUUUAACCUUGGGGGCUGGACGACUGGUCAAUCUGGGCGAAUGAUAUUUCACCAGGUGGUCACAUCCCAACCCCUGGCCUAGGGCAGCAGUUUCCUAAUAGGAUUUCCUGCCUCCAGCUUCUCCCCAAUCCAAUCCAUUUCCCACAAAGAUGCCAUAUUAAUAUUACUGAAGCACAUUCGAUGGGUCACUCCUCCUUCAAACAUCUGCAGUGGCUCCCUAUUGCCUCGGGGGGAACAAAUGAUCAACUCCCCUGUUUCAAAGCAAGACUGUUCUGGAGCUAAGUCCAACAGGCUACUUGCUGUUCUUGGAAUACUUUUCCUCUUCAUCUCUGUCUUCGGGAACCCUGCGAUGGCACAGCGGGUCUGAGUGCUGGAUUUAAGAGUUGGGAAGAUCUGAAUGCAAAUCCUGCCUCAGACACUUACAAGCUGAGUGAUUCUGGGCAAGUCACUUUACCUUUUGAACCUGUUUCCUUACCUAUAAAAUGGGAAUAAGGAUGGUGAGGAUAAAAUAAGGUCAUAUAUAUGGUACUUUGCUCA